RNAcentral lists this ribosomal RNA (429 nucleotides) under Bacteroidota bacterium. RNAcentral describes it as "Bacteroidetes bacterium partial 16S ribosomal RNA". It matches the Rfam family "Bacterial small subunit ribosomal RNA", at positions 355 to 776 of the family's 1533-position model. The record is from RNAcentral. Lineage: Bacteria; Pseudomonadati; Bacteroidota.
UAGGGAAUCUUCCGCAAUGGCCGCAAGUCUGACGGAGCAACGCCGCGUGAGUGAAGAAGGAUUUCGGUUCGUAAAACUCUGUUGUUAGAGAAGAACAGCGCAUAGAGUAACUGUUAUGCGUGUGACGGUAUCUACCCAGAAAGCCACGGCUAACUACGUGCCAGCAGCCGCGGUAAUACGUAGGUGGCAAGCGUUGUCCGGAUUUAUUGGGCGUAAAGCGAGCGCAGGCGGUCAAUUAAGUCUGAUGUGAAAGCCCCCGGCUCAACCGGGGAGGGUCAUUGGAAACUGGUUGACUUGAGUGCAGAAGAGGAGAGUGGAAUUCCAUGUGUAGCGGUGAAAUGCGUAGAUAUAUGGAGGAACACCAGUGGCGAAGGCGACUCUCUGGUCUGUAACUGACGCUGAGGCUCGAAAGCGUGGGUAGCAAACAGG